CAAGUCGCGGGAAUCCCGGGCAACCGGGGGAACCGGCGUAAGGGGCAGUAAGGCGUGGGUACCCACCCCGGGGUCCGGGAUAGCCCGCCGAGAGGCGGGGUAAUACCGGAUGACCUCGGGAGAGCAAAGCUCCGGCGCCCCGGGCGGGGCCCACGUGAUAUUAGCUGGUUGGCGGGGUGACGGCCCACCAAGGCGGAGAUGUCUAGCGGGUGUGAGAGCACGACCCGCGCCACUCGCACUGAGACACUGGCGAGACACCUACGGGUGGCUGCAGUCGAGGAUCUUCGGCACUGGGCGCAAGCCCGACCGAGCGACGCCGCGUGUGCGACGAAGGCCUUCGGGUUGUAAAGCACUGUCGAGGGGGAGGAACGCCGCAAGGCUUGACCUAUCCCUGGAGGAAGCUCGGGCUAAGUUCGUGCCAGCAGCCGCGGUAAGACGAACCGAGCGAACGUUGUUCGGAAUCACUGGGCUUAAAGGGCGCGUAGGCGGGCGGCCGCGUCCGGGGUGAAAUCCUCCGGCUCAACCGGAGAACGGCCUCGGAUACGGGCGGCCUGGAGGCGGGUAGGGGCGUGCGGAACUGUGGGUGGAGCGGUGAAAUGCGUUGAGAUCCACAGGAACUCCGGUGGCGAAGGCGGCACGCUGGACCCGAUCUGACGCUGAGGCGCGAAAGCCAGGGGAGCGAACGGGAUUAGAUACCCCGGUAGUCCUGGCCCUAAACGUUGGGGACUAGGUAGUAGCCUUGCAUGGGGUUACUGCCGGAGCGAAAGUGCUAAGUCCCCCGCCUGGGGAGUAUGGUCGCAAGGCUGAAACUCAAAGGAAUUGACGGGGGCUCACAC
Molecule: ribosomal RNA, 836 nt
Filed under: uncultured Planctomycetia bacterium
Lineage: Bacteria; Pseudomonadati; Planctomycetota; Planctomycetia
Description: bacterial SSU rRNA
Rfam family: Bacterial small subunit ribosomal RNA
Source: RNAcentral